This 653-nucleotide ribosomal RNA is filed under the name uncultured Dysgonomonas sp. RNAcentral describes it as "bacterial SSU rRNA". It matches the Rfam family "Bacterial small subunit ribosomal RNA", at positions 1 to 659 of the family's 1533-position model. The record is from RNAcentral. Lineage: Bacteria; Pseudomonadati; Bacteroidota; Bacteroidia; Bacteroidales; Dysgonomonadaceae.
UCGGCUUAGAGUUUGAUCGUGGCUCACGAUGAACGCUAGCGACAGGCCUAACACAUGCAAGUCGAGGGGUAGGAGUAGCAAUACUUCACGACCGGCGCACGGGUGAGUAACACGUAUGCAACCUACCUUCUACCGGGGGAUAGCCCGUUGAAAGACGGAUUAAUACCGCAUAAUACAUUUUUCGCAUGGAAAAAUGUUAAAGAUUUAUUAGUAGAAGAUGGGCAUGCGUUCCAUUAGCCAGUUGGUGAGGUAACGGCUCACCAAAGCAACGAUGGAUAGGGGAACUGAGAGGUUUAUCCCCCACACUGGUACUGAGACACGGACCAGACUCCUACGGGAGGCAGCAGUGAGGAAUAUUGGUCAAUGGACGAGAGUCUGAACCAGCCAAGUCGCGUGAAGGAUGACUGCCCUCGGGUUGUAAACUUCUUUUGUAUGGGAGUAAAAAAGUCUACGUGUAGACUAUUGCAAGUACCAUACGAAUAAGCAUCGGCUAACUCCGUGCCAGCAGCCGCGGUAAUACGGAGGAUGCGAGCGUUAUCCGGAUUUAUUGGGUUUAAAGGGUGCGUAGGCGGGCUUUUAAGUCAGCGGUGAAAGUUUGCGGCUCAACCGUAAAAUUGCCGUUGAAACUGGGAGUCUUGAGUAUAUCUGAAGUA